CAUCUCAAAACAAAAACUUUACAUAUUCCACAUAUUCCUCCUUGACCCAUUGAUCUCUCCCAAACUCCAUUUCUUCUACUUAUUCAGGACUCACUUCAUUGAGAUUUCACUGACUUCUUUCCCAAAGUUUUAACCUACGAGUAUAUAAGAGAAUCGAACUGAAAAAAAGAUGAGAUAGUUGAAGAGGUGA
Caenorhabditis elegans is the source of this 190-nucleotide small nucleolar RNA. The record is from Ensembl. NCBI's taxonomy places the organism in Eukaryota, Metazoa, Nematoda, Chromadorea, Rhabditida, Rhabditidae.